RNAcentral lists this long non-coding RNA (712 nucleotides) under Rattus norvegicus (Norway rat). Its description in RNAcentral is "long non-coding RNA NONRATT023837". The record is from RNAcentral. Lineage: Eukaryota; Metazoa; Chordata; Mammalia; Rodentia; Muridae.
GAGGAGUCUUCAGCGUUUCCUUAGGAUCCACAGGGUUCAGUCGAAGUCAAUUCUGUUAAAACAGAAGCUGGAGCCACAGACUCAGGCACAGGGCAUGGAUUUCUGGCACUGGCUUGGGCUGGCCAGCAGAGGGCACCUGCUGCUACUGAUGGACAUCCCAAACCUUUGGAGGCAGGUGAGUUGGGUGUGUGUGUGUGUGUGUGUGUGUGUGUGUGUGUGUGUGUGUGUGUGUGUGUGUGUGUGUGUUGUAUAUGCGUGUGUUUAUUGAGGGAGUCAACUUUCCCAGUCUUAGAAUCACUUGGUUUCUGCCAUCAAUGGCAUCGUGAUCGUGGCUAGACAUUUCUCCAGGGGCAAACAGACCUACAGACACCACACAACCCCGUUCAUGGUGGCCAACAACAUGGUGGAGGCAGGGCCCGUUAGCAGACCUCUUGAGUGACAGCCCUGUGCAGGUCUCUACCUUCUAAGGAGAUAGACACUGUUUACAAGUGUCUGUGGCUGGCUCCUGAUUGCCGCUCCUCUGUCUGAGGUGGGCUGUUAUGGAGUCGUGGCGAGGCCGGCGCGUCCGCAGUCACGAUGCGGAGGCUGAUGUGGAUCCGAAGGCCUAUCCCCUCGCUGAUGCCCACCUCGCCAAGAAGCUGCUGGACCUUGUUCGGCAGUGGUGUAACCGCAAGCAGCUUCGGAAAGGAGCCGAUGAAGCCACCAAACCUCA